This 1241-nucleotide long non-coding RNA is filed under the name Nicotiana benthamiana. Its description in RNAcentral is "long non-coding RNA (NBEN_LNC037948)". The record is from RNAcentral. Lineage: Eukaryota; Viridiplantae; Streptophyta; Magnoliopsida; Solanales; Solanaceae.
UCCUUGUAUAAUUUCUUUAGGUUUAUCUUUAAUACCUAAACUGUUUAGGUGAAUAUUCUGAAAAAGCCGUCCAACAUUUUCUAAAAUAUACAUAAACUAAUCAGAUGACCCCAUCUUCGCCCCUUAGGCAAUAGCCUUUCACAGUUCCUCUUUUAUAUAAAAACCAAGCAUAGAGCCAAACUUUCACAAUCUAUCACACCUCUGUAUCUUACUUUUUUUUCAUUCAUUUUUCCCACCAAUACGAGAAAGUGUAAUAUUACAUUUUGUUCGAGAGAUAACAUUUAACAUGUCACAUAUCUAGAAGUGUAUAUUCUCAUUUUAUCUUAAUUUAUUAUCAUAAGUCAUAUCGUUUCUACUUUAUCGAAAAAAUGCUGCAAUUAAUUACAGCGGCAUACCUAGCAUCGCCGCUUAUGAUCUAUGUACCACCAAUUCGGAGGUUGAACAUGUUGGUGGAGUCAUUGGAAUUUCUUCUCCGUCAUAUAACAUCAAUGUGUAAUAUCAAUACUAUCCUUCGUUUUCGCCUUUUCUUCUCCACAUACAUCUCCAUCCCUCCUGUUCUCCUUUCCUCUCCUUCGCCUCCAACUCUAAGGUAGUAGAUGUUCCUCCACUUUUAUUUUGUAGCAAUUUUUUCGGCUUCCAAACGAGCAUCUGAAUAUCAAGAAGAAUAUUCAAAAGGAAAAAUCAAACAAGAAUUUCCACCAUUUUAAUUUUAGCAAGGGAAUAUAAAAUUUUCAAUUUUCUUGUUAGAAUCGAUUGUCUUUGUUUUUUAGUCUCUUUUAUGUUUUGAAGAAUUCUUCUUUUUUGGAUUUGUUCAUAGUAGAGUCCGGGGCGGAUCUAGAGCAAAGUUUACGGGUUUUCGUGAACCCAAUAACUUUUGCAUAGACUUUGUAUUUGUACUAAAAAAAUUCAUUAAAAGUAUAAAAAUAUUUAGCAAAGCUAUAUAGUUUUUUGAAGUAAUAAUACAGUUGGAAGUUGUUUCACGAGGGAAAAGAAAAAUAAAAAAAUUCCCUUAUUUAUAAGGUUAGAUGUAUUUAGGUCCUUGAUAUAUGUUAUUGACCAUAAAUAAACGAUUUAAAGCGGGACACUUUAGUGAUAAUAAAAUAGAGAAAAACAUAUAAUAAUAGAAACUUAAUACUCUAGUAACUAACUCAAAGUAAUGGCGUACCUAACAAUAAAACAAGCUAAUCAAGGAUAGAACAAAAAUCUUACCCUUAUUUGCAUGCGAAUAGGAUGACUUUCCA